AGGACGAACGCUGGCGGCGUGCUUAACACAUGCAAGUCGAGCGGAAAGGCCCUUCGGGGUACUCGAGCGGCGAACGGGUGAGUAACACGUGAGCAAUCUGCCCUUAGCUUCGGGAUAGCCCCGGGAAACCGGGAUUAAUACCGAAUAUGACUUCGGCCGACAUCGGCUGCGGUGGAAAGUUUUUCGGCUAGGGAUGAGCUCGCGGCCUAUCAGCUAGUUGGUGGGGUAAUGGCCUACCAAGGCGACGACGGGUAGCCGGCCUGAGAGGGCGACCGGCCACACUGGGACUGAGACACGGCCCAGACUCCUACGGGAGGCAGCAGUGGGAAUAUUGCGCAAUGGGCGAAAGCCUGACGCAGCGACGCCGCGUGGGGGAUGAAUGCCUUCGGGUUGUAACCCCUUUCAGCGAGGGACGAAGCGAAAGUGACGGUACCUGCAGAAGAAGCGCCGGCUACUACGCGCCAGCAGCCGC
RNAcentral lists this ribosomal RNA (472 nucleotides) under uncultured bacterium. RNAcentral describes it as "SSU rRNA". It matches the Rfam family "Bacterial small subunit ribosomal RNA", at positions 26 to 518 of the family's 1533-position model. The record is from RNAcentral.